GAGAGAUGGCUGAGCUGGUCGAAGGCGCACGAUUGGAAAUCGUGUAGACCCCUAAAAGGUCUCGAGGGUUCGAAUCCCUCUCUCUCC
This 87-nucleotide transfer RNA is filed under the name human gut metagenome. It matches the Rfam family "tRNA". Rfam says of the family: Transfer RNA (tRNA) molecules are approximately 80 nucleotides in length. The record is from RNAcentral.